Procambarus clarkii (red swamp crayfish) is the source of this 4542-nucleotide long non-coding RNA. RefSeq lists it as uncharacterized. NCBI's taxonomy places the organism in Eukaryota, Metazoa, Arthropoda, Malacostraca, Decapoda, Cambaridae. The record is from RefSeq and is a predicted model, not a curated record.
CCUUCAUCUGCACCAAGUAAGUAUUUUAUGGUGCAAGGGGUUAAUGGGUUUACAUCACUGGUUGAUUUAGGAGAGCAAGACAUUAAGACAAUGCAAGUUUUUUGCAAAUUAAAGUUAUGCCCCAUUUACAUUCCACAUUGUUAAAGUUACUUGUCCCUCCUUCCCCCAGUAUGAUAGUUAUGCUAUACAUGAUCUGGCCUGGCAUAUAACCUGUUUAUUUUCAGCAGAGCACAUUUAGGUAGGUUUUGAAUACAAGUGAUUUUUCCUGGGUUAGUCUGAGUACUACUUUGACCCUGGUUCUUUCUAAGUGAGGACAAAAGUUUAUUGUGUCUAGCUGCGGCAAGGUCAAUAUGGGAGUCGGUAACUGGUUCAGCAUCAAAUUUGGGCAAAGGAGACUGUGUUUCGUGUUCCUCAGCACUUACCUGACGCAGAAGGCAAGGAGGCCCAUAGCCAAGUUUACGAGAAGAGAUCAGUCAGUGGCACUACAAGAAUAGCCAUUCUGUCUACAGAUACCCUGAAGCAUCACUACCAGUUCAUGAAGAAUUCAGGCAAGCCUAUCAAGUGCAACUCGGGAGAGUUUCGGACUUACAAAAGGUCAUUGUCCUCCUUGGUCAUGGUGCAAGCACUCACACGUCAAGAGACUUAAGUACCUGAGGUUAGAUCCAUUCAGUAUUUUAUUCAGCCCACUCAGCACCAGUGAGGUAAAGUGUUUAGCGACUUUGGUAUGGGUGCAUCAGACCCCUGGAUGUCAUCACCAGUAGGAGUUUGAGGACGUGUCUCUCCUAUGAGCACUCAUGAUAGAAUGAAGCAUGGCUCAGGGAAGGGGCUUUCAGGUACCACCAGAAAUAUAUUAUAAACUAACCAACUAAUGUGUGUACUGUUUAUACAAAUGUUAUCUUUGUUGUGGGAGCAUAUUAGUUAUUUUUAUUGCAGGAGUAUGGACAUCUUGUAGAGAAUUCUGUAUUCUUGAUUGGCAACCAAGAGGACAUGUGACAAUGUACAUAGAUGUCACUGGAAAAAUCUGCACAUUUGAGGAUAAUCCAUUAGGGAAGUAUAAAACCAUUGUGGUUCUGUACUUCCCUAAGGUUACACCACAUACCCAAUGUGAGAUAUUGUAUGUUUGAUGCACUGAAAGAAGGUGAGAGGUUUCUAGUGUUAUUUUAUGUGAAAAUUAAGUUAAUCCUCUGAUCCAUUGUGUGUGGAGGGUGACCAUCCAAGGUACAGUGAGUACUGGAUUAUAUUAUUAAAGGGAUGAUAUAUUCAGGGACAUGUUUUGAGUGAGCAGCAGCAGUUAGAGGUAGUAGUGAGAAGUUAGGUGCCUGCCAUUAUAAAUACCCCCCCCCCCUCCAAGUCACAGUGCCAAGUUUAUUUUCAGUCACCGUACCAUGGAUGGUUUUGGCCAUGACCAUGGCUUCCCUGGGUCCAUGAGGCGAGGUCAGGUGCAGUAAGAUUAGGAGGAAGUGAGCAAAUGGCAGAAUCGAGGUUUGGGGAACAGCAGCCCAGUAGAAGCAAUCUCAGUAACCUUGCACUGUAGUUCUUCAGAUGGUCAUAGGGACCUGGACUAAUUCCCACAGGACUGCAAGGUGAGGUAAAGUGCAGUAGAUAUAUCUUCCAUUAAGUGGAACUGGGGCACAGAGUAAGAUAAGCUGCUGUGUACAACAUUCAUCAGGCUGCCUGCCUAUGGCUGCAUUUCCUCCAAGAAUUUGGAGAUCCCAAUCUCAACUGUACUAUUUGCUCACCUAGCACUACAUCUCAUGCAAUUUACCUUGGCUCAUGGCCCUGGGAAAAUUGUGGAGCCAGGUAACUGCACCCAGGCUGUAUACUGCUGCCUCAGGAACCAUGACUCUGUUGCUAUUUGUUCACCUCCCAUUAAACGUACUGCAUCUGAUCUCGCUCUUUUUGUCCCAUUGACUGCAUUCUUGGGUAUGCACAGUCCUGAAUAUUCAACAACUAGGUUUCCCUUCUGCAUGCCCUGUUUCCUCUAGCCCCAUCUCUGAGCUAAUGGCAGAGAUAAGAUCAGAGGAGCUAUGGCAUGUAGCACAGUUCUAAAAAACUGUUUAUCAUUCCCUGGGUGGCUGUGGAUGCCCAGACUCACGGUUCACCCAGAGCCACAAAAUGAGAUCAGGUGCAGUAGGUUUAGUAAGUGCUUAGCAGAUGGUAGAGAUGAAACCAAGGAAACCACAGCCUGGAGAAACCUUAGAUAUCAAGAGGCUGCAUUUGUCCAGGUGCAUGUGGAUACCUGGGGCUGUGAUUCCCAGGAUGACAGGUUUCCCUGAAUGGCCACAGGUAUGUACAGAGCUUUCCCAGGUGGCUGCAAAACCUUGGAAAUCUGUAGCGAGUAUGUUUACUCGCUACAGAAGUGAGUAAACAUUAUACUCACUCCAAAUCUAAUUUUUUUGCAGAGUCACAGAGGCAAAGAGGUUGAAUUUUGCUUACUAAUGCAGUUGAAGAGAGCAACUCACCACUAUGAACUAGUAUUACAUGUUUUUUCUAGAGUGCCACACAAAAUAAAAUAACUUUCUACUUCACUGCUGUUAAUGUCUCAAAAACUUUUAUAAUUCCAGAUCACCUGACUGUCUCACAGAAUAAACAGAGAUUUGUGUUACAUGCCUUGAGAUCAAAGUGUGGUAGUAAAGAAGGAGUGUGACUACUGUCAUUAUCUACAAUGUACUGCAGCCACAAGAACAACAACUACAACUACUUCCAGACGUCUAGACAGUACCUCCAGUCUCCCCCCUUCACCACAGCCCGUCACCUCACCUGGGAGCUCACGCCACCGGCCGAAACAAGCAGUUAACGAGCCGGUUCAUAGUUAAAGAAGCUACCAGCACCACCUGCAGUCGUAUACUUUAAAGAUACCACUUUACCUUGGAGAAAGUUGAGUAGUGUAGACCGACCCUAGCUUUUCAGCAUGUGAGGUUGAAGGGCCCACGGAGUUAAACUCAACCAGGGUGGGGGCUGUGAUCGAGGUAGCAAUCGUAGUUUCCAUAGCUUCUGGAAGUCCCAAGAACACAAGAGUCCUAAGUUUUUCUUUUUUCUUGCGAAGCGAAACGUGUUUGUAGCGGGGGAGGUGGUCUGGUGGCCAAGCAAAAAUUUUUUCCUUUGACUUGUGAAGCGGAGCGUGACUGGAGCAAGAGAGAACGCAUGACCUCUCCUCUCUUCUUUAUAUAGGCCCCCACGGCGCUCUGCACGCUGCGCUGCGGAUCGCGCUGUGCAACUGUCUUUCUACUCCAUCAGAAAUUCCUCCGCAUUCCUACAUAAUGCAGCGGUCAUUUCUGGCCUGCAUAGUUAAGAUGGGAAGAUCAACUUUGCUGUGUGUGUUGCUGUGUUGGACUCUUCUGUGUGAGUGUCAGUCAGACAGGAGUCAAGCCAGUACAUCAAGAUGCUGGACUACUGUACACGACGAAGACCCCCCGCCGGCGCCAGCACCCGAGGACUUCGCCAUGAUGGUGCGAUACGUUGUCGAGUUCGCUAAACUGAUAAAUGUGAACGAAAUAUAUUUUUGCGUGACGCAAGAAUCAGGUAAGUUUACCUGUCGGGUAAUUUAUGAUUCCUAUGUUAUUUAACGCAGUUACCACAGGCUUGUGGAGUCCCCAAGCCAAGUUAGUCUUGAUAGGCUAGUUACACAGUUUAAUAUAUAUUAUAUCAACAACGGGUUCAAGGAUGACCACAAGUACAGUCUCUCAUCUACACAAACAAUCCAUCUAUCCACCGCAACUCGGUUGAGCACCCCUUGAUCUCUUGUGGUAAAAAAAACUGAAGCUUGUCUUUUAUUCUAAUGGGUUCCAAGCCUGCAGCCUGCCAUCUAGUGGUAAAGAUUGUAAUUAUUGUGGGAGAGUUACCAUGAUGCACCUUUACUAAUAUUACCCUCAUUUUAUGUGUACUCACUGUACACAUACUUAUGUACUCACUGUGUGGGGGUGGGUUCCCUGUGCUAGUGGACUUGUAGGUGUUUAUUGGUUCUGUCGUUAUCUUCCCUUAACCCCCAGCUCUCACCACCACCCUCACUCUGACUCGCAUCAUCAUUCCUUAACCACACAUGCUCCUGUUGCCACUCUCCUUCCCCGGAGGCGAUCUUGUUACCAUCUCGAAGGAUGAAAAAAAAAAUCAAGGCCCAGGUUGAAGUAAAAAAAAGCCAACCCUCCUAACCCCGCCACCAGAGCCCCUGACGAUAUACCCAACACCCCAGCUCCCACCAACCAACUAGAAGACUUUCCAGUCUUACCAACAGUGGUUCCUCCCCACCAGUCGACCCAUCCUUCACAAUGGGGACCCAAGGUCCAACCAGCACCCCUCGCCGCCCCUUGCAUCAUGUGCAGGCAUUAUCCCUGGCCUCAUACGACUGGCGGAGAGGCUUGCCGGACCACCACCGAUUCAUCAGGGAACUGAAUGUGCUGUACAUAGCCAAUGGCCUGGACCCCAUCACAGCCCCUGACGCAAGUCUCACUACCUCCCUCCCAUACCACACAGGGGACUUCCACAAGGUCGACCAGUAGGAAAGGGAACUAUCAGAAGAAAGCGCCAAGCCAUUACGACUAUAUA